AGAGCACGUGCUCUGCCUACGGGCUGUGGGCGGGGCUGCUUUACAGGGAUCACGUCAUGCGGAGGGGUGGGGUUUUCCCUAGGCAGCCUCCGCAUGCUGCUCAGGCUCCAGCUCGUAGUGCGGGGCGCUGGGUCUCUGCACACGGUUCCCCAGCUGAACUGUCGCGCUGCCUUUUCGCACUAGGAACGCUGGUCUGAAGUGCCAGAUGCAAGGCUUCUACACAUAGCACCCCACGAGCAAGUGAAAAAGAGAUGGGGAAUAAGGAAUUUCUGGCAGCUGACUCAAACCCCAGUGAGGAACAUGAGCAGUAAAAAGAAAUGCUGGAGUCGGGUGAAAGAACUGGAGGCAGAAAUGCUAGAAAAAUAUCUUCACUGUCUCCGGACUUUUGUGAUUAAUUUCACUUAAAAACAAGACCAAAAAAAUGUUUAGGAGUUUUGGGAACUCAUAUAAUGAGAAUGGCCAGCAGAGGGCCUUUAGACGAACAUGAACACUUUACUAUUCAAGUGGAAUCUUUGAGCUUUGAUUCUUCUCGCUGCUGGAUUAUUUUUUUUUAAGAAAGUGAAAAAAAGAACCUCAUAUUUUAUUGGGAAAUAGUUGCAAAAUUCUUCAGCCUCGGUGUUUGUCAGUGGCAUCGCUGUUAGCAAUCUCCAUUUCAUGGAGGACAAGGUGCUUCAGCGGAAGGUCAGCAGGUGGCAAACUUCUACAACCCUUAGACAGAGGCCUGCAGUGGGCAGCUCCCGUUCUAGAGAAAUAUUUGGGGUUUGUGCUUCUUCUGGAGGGAUGGGUGGUGUCAGUGUAUGUGUAUGUGUUACAUUGUAAAACGCACUGAAUGAAAAAUAAGUUUCUUUUCAAAUAAUUGUGAAGGUAUUUGCCAGUUAAGCUAAAUCAGUUGGUAUCAAAAUCAGUUGGUCAACCAAUCAGUCCUGAAGGUCAUCUGUGAGUGCUGUGGUUAUCUCUGUCCCUGUGGGAGAGGGUGGAAUAGAAGAUUCCUAAAUUCCCCUUCGGUUCUGGUAGUCUGUGGUUGGAGAUGGUCAGCCUUGACCUAAGUCUUACCUACUCUUAAUGUCUUAUGAUCUGGAAGCAGAUGUAUAGAGUUCCUAAUUUUACAUGGUGUGAUAAUAUUUCGAUUAGAUUUUUGGAAGAAAAUUCUGAGAGCAAAUGUUGAAGAAUAACAGGAAUAUUUGAGUAAGUCCAUUUGAGUGCAAAACAUAGAAGGUUGUAAAAUCACCUUUUGUUUCUUUACUGAAAACUUGGAUUCAGUGUUAACUCUUUUUCACUGCUCAGAUUCUCAAGAUUUUAAGUUUAUGCUGAUAAAUUCUGGGGAAAAAUUAUUUCUUCAUUUGUUCUCCUGGAGAGUCAUUUUCUAGUUAAAAGGCAACACAGCAGUCCCUUCUUCUCCAAGGCUUUUGCUUUGCGUGGUUUCACCUGUGGUGGUGGUGGUUUAGUUGCUAAGUCGUGUCCAAUUCUUGUGAUCCCAUGGAC
This is a long non-coding RNA of Bos taurus (domestic cattle), 1482 nucleotides long. Lineage: Eukaryota; Metazoa; Chordata; Mammalia; Artiodactyla; Bovidae. The record is from Ensembl.